CCACUUGUUCUUCUCAUAUAUCUUCCUUAACAUAAUGUUGAUUUUAUUUCCAUGAUCAACUAAGGCCAAAAUUAGAUCUUUAAAAUCUCUCAACUUUAUAUAUGUUUUUGUUGUAGCUCUAGUCCAAUAAAGAACUAAAUAGCUACUUCUUCCUAUUCCAUCAUUAUCACAUUUAGAACAAGUGUUUAUACAUACUUCUAUUAUAUUCUUCUUUAUCU
RNAcentral lists this long non-coding RNA (218 nucleotides) under Physcomitrium patens. RNAcentral describes it as "long non-coding RNA (PPAT_LNC009970)". The record is from RNAcentral. Lineage: Eukaryota; Viridiplantae; Streptophyta; Bryopsida; Funariales; Funariaceae.